RNAcentral lists this long non-coding RNA (5158 nucleotides) under Elaeis guineensis (African oil palm). RNAcentral's name for it is "long non-coding RNA (EGUI_LNC000072)". The record is from RNAcentral. Lineage: Eukaryota; Viridiplantae; Streptophyta; Magnoliopsida; Arecales; Arecaceae.
UGAAAUGAGAGGGAAAGAUGGCUCUUUUUGUAUCUCUCCAACGUCCGUUUUAUUUGUGUCGCUUGCGGUGCACAAAGAAUUUCUCUUUACGAAUACUCCGACAUCCAUUUUAUUUGUGUCGCUUGCAAGGUCGGACGCCAACGUAACACAUGGCGGGGCUUUUGGCUAAGGUAUGAAAUGGUCUUUUACCCUUCUUAUAUAUUUAUCUUCUUUCCCUUUUUGUUUUUGUUGACAAAGACAUCCCUAUGCUCCAUCUUCGAUCAAAUCGUGCUCUAUACCCUUCCCCGGUGGAGAUGGAUAAAAAGGUGUGCUCAUUGGGUUUGCCAUUGGAUUCUGAUAGAUGGCAAAAACUGUCAAAGUUCGCUCGUCAGCCCUCAUCAGAGGGGAAAGGAGUCAAUCCAGGAUUGGGUUGAGUCACCUCAGUCGGGUCGGGAUCUGGAUGCCACAUUCUUAAUGAAGUGGAUUUGGACCAGAUAGCUAUGGAUGUAGGCUUGAAUAUUGGUCCAGAUUCGAAGGAUCAUUAUAUGGCCGAGGUGGGUGGGUCCUCCUUGGAGCAGGCUAGGAGCCCGGCACGAUCAAGUUCAAUCUCUCAAAACCUAGCAGCCCAUAGCCUAAACCUCAAGCCCAACCCACUUUCCUCGUUCGACUGUGUCUGAGCCAAAUGAUGUAGGCUCGAGUGGCAGGUUGCUGCUCCCAUGCUGAGCCCUAAGUGUUUUGAAGCAAGCCCAGGGUUAUUGGAAUUGGGUUUCCGUGCCACCAGAGGUAAGCUUGUUGGAGACCCCUCGCUUUGUCCCCUUCUCCUGCGACCUCCUCUAGCCCAUCCUCCCAUCUAUCGGUGAUCAGAGGAGGGCUUCACCAACCCACUUCCUCCCUCUUUGUGGAGUUUGUCACCAAGGACGGCCCGUAGGAGACCCCCGAUGACUCACGGCAGGGGGACAAGCAUCAAUCACUCAUACCACCCUUAUCCUCUUAUGGGCCUGCCUUGACCAGCUGUGAGGGAGGAAAUACGGUCGGGAAAGAGGAUGAGACGGUAGUAGAAAGAAGGGCGAUGGGCCACAAUGUGGUUGUAGACCGACUUAAUUCAACCUUGUUUGCUGGCGGGGAGCAGAACAAACUCAAUCUAAACAUUGUUGAUCGAACUGGGACUGAUGAAGCUUUGGCCAUAGGAUCACGAGCCCCACCCUUAACCAGUUAGUGAUUAAUUAUGAAGGUGUUAUUUUGGAACAUCUAAGGGGCUGAUAAGCCCCCCUUUUACUCAAGAGUAUAAGAGGAUCAUGCAACUUUAUAAUCCAGACCUGUGUGUGCUGGUUGAAAUAAGCCUCGGUGGUCCAAGUUUGACUCAUGCAUGUCAUCACUUCCUAGCUAAUUGGGGAUCUAUGCUAUGGGAUCUCAGAGAUUGAUUGGGUUAUUAUUCCAUGGAGAACCAAUGAUGUAAUGGUGGAUGUCUUCCUCCGAUGUGCUCAGCAAGUAGCUAUUGUUAUCUCUAAAAUGAAUCAUUUUAUUUAGCUUUUGCCUGUUGUGUACACGAGCACCAACUGUAGGGAGAGAAGGACUAUGUGGCAGGAGGCAUCAUGCUUGAUAGAUCAGGAUAUCCCCACUAUGGUGGUUGGUGAUUUUAACUAUAUUGUUGGCCCCCAUGAGAAAAGAGAUGGUAGGCCUUUUGUAGAUGAUGCAGGAUCUAAAGAAUUCAGGGACUUCAUUCAUUUUAUGGAUUUAGUUAGCAUUGGCUUUGUUGGCUCGAGGUUCAUCUGGUGCAACAAUCAUCAAGGUGGAGCUAAAGUGUGGAAGAUGAUCGAUAGGGUCCUUGUGAUGGCUAGCUGGAUUCAAAAAUUUCUCAAUCACUCUGUUCACCACUUGCCGAAGAUAGCCUUGGACCAUUGUUCGAUCUUGCUUACUAUUGAUACAUCAUUCUCUUAUUGGUGCCCAUUCUAGUUUGAGAAGUUCUAACUCUCUUAAUCUCGAUCCUGGGAUAUUGUGAGGGAGGUCUAGAAGCUUUAGGUGAGAGGCCAUACCAGGUACUGGAUGACUCAAAGACUAAAGCUGACUAGGCAGCAGCUAUGACGAUGGAAUAGGGUUGAAGUGGGCAAUACAUCAGAAGGCUGGAGGUUGUUAAGACUGUCAUUUUGGUGAUUCUUCCAUCAGACUACUGUCAUCCAUAGACACCAGAAUCAAAUCCAUACGAUUAGGGGUGAUGGAGGGCAGCGGUUAGUCGAGGAGAAUAUCAGGCAAGAGAUCAUGUAAUUUUUUAGAUCGAGAUGGAUCAUGGAGCUGGGUGGAGAGGGCACCUUCUAGCACCCCCUCCAAGCAAGUUGGUUAUGGAGUAAGAGAAUAGAGACCUUAGUAGAGCUAUGAUUGCCGAUGAGGUGUGGGGGGUGGUGUGGUCCAUGAUGGACAACAAAGCCUCGAGACCUAAUAGCUUUCCUUCACUCUUCUUCAGACGGUAUUGACUCAUUAUCCAGACUAAGGUGGUGGUUGUAAUGUAGGAGUUCUUUGCUACAGAUCUGAUGCCAGCUGCCUGGAAGCAAACUUUUAUUGUCCUUCUGCUGAAGAGGUAGGUGCAUCGGAGCCGAACCACUUCAGACCCAUUAGCUUAUACACGACCUUAUACAAGAUUUUCACCAAGCAAUGGUGGAUAGAAUGAAGCCUAUUCUUCCUCGACUGAUCUCUCCUGAACAGAGAGCAUUCAUUGGUAGCCAUAGCAUUUUUCGAUAAUGUUCUCAUUGCUUAGGAGUUCAUAUAUGAGCUUCAUCAUACUUUUAUCUACCAUAGUCUUAUAGAGAUCAAGCUGGACAUGGAGCAGACUUAUGAUCGUAUGAGUUAGUGAUUUCUAGAAUGGACCUUAGAGGAGUUUCGAUUUCACCCUCGUUAGAUUGGCUAGAUCAUAGCGUGCAUCUGUAGUCCCAACUUUGCAAUCCUGAUCAAUGGAACACCUUCAGAGUUUCUCUCUUCCAUAGCCAGAUUGCGAUAAGGUUGUACUUUAUCCCCGUAUUUUUUCAUUCUAUGUGCUGAUGCCCUCUCGCACGCUCUUCAUGCUGCAUUCCGAAGAUCAACUUUGGACUCUUAUCUGCCAGUCCUUCAGGCCCAACCAAUCUCAUAUUUGCCUUUUGUAGAUAACUGCCUACUAUUGGACUGGGCCUCUAUCUGAAAUGCUGUCGGCUUCAUGAGUCUUGGAGGAGUACUGCUCAGCAUUGGGCCAAAGAGUAAACCUCUUCAGUUCGCCAUAUAUUUUAGCCCAAAGAUGCUGAUCCAAUGGUGACAUAUGAUUAGAGGCAUCAUUAUGGCCACGGAGCAUAGGGGGCCUUUGCGUUACCUGUGGAUCCCUGUAUUAAAGCAUAGACACCGGAGAUCAAGUGCAUGGAGGUGGAGCAGUCGAUUCGGGGGCAACUAGAGGGAUGCUAAGCCAAAGCUCUUUCUAUGAUGGACAGAGUCAUCCUUGUAAGGUCAAUUCUCAACUCCAGGCUUAUUUAUCUCAUGCCAAACACUAUCCUACCAAAGACUCUGGUGGAGAAGCUCGAGUAGUACUUUUGGAGAUUCAUGUGGGUAUUGAGCUUUAAAGGUAGGGGUGUGCACCUGGUAGCUUGGGAUGUUGUGGAUCGAUCGCUAAUGGAUGGUGAUCCAGAGAUUUAGAUCUUGGUUGCUAGAUGAGAGGUCUUGAUUGCCAAGCAUGUGGCUUGUUUCCUUCUUAGCCCUGACAACUGGUAGAGCAGGAUGAUGAUUAUGAGGUAUGGAUCCUAGGUGACUGAAGAGGAGAUUUGUGUCUUGGAGCUGCUCUUUGUUGUAGAAGGAGAUUUAUGCACAGGCCCCGGAUGUUCUUUUUCAGAUAAGAUGGCUUGUGGGGGAUGGCCAUUCCAUGAAUGUUCUACUAAACUUCUGGAUUGCUGAUCUACCAAUGAGCCAAUGGCCAACUUUCACCAACGUGGAGGUUAGCGACUCGAUGAGGAUUUGUAAGCUACUCACUCAAGGUGAUAGAAGCUGAGAUACAGAGACAGUUGUCCAUUUGUUUGGCGAGCCCUUGGCUGAGCGAGUGCACUCACCGGCAAUUCCAGCCUGCAAUACAUAGGAUGUUAAGAGUCUGGAGAUCCUCAUGCUCCUUAAGAACGAUGACUACCGACCUCUACCACCUAUAUCGAAGGGAGCCUAUCAGGUGCCUGGACAUCGACUGGGUCUAGAGGACUGAUGUGCACCUAAGGAUGAGUCUCUUUAUUUGGAAAGUCGCUUGAGAGUGACUUCUAACCAGAUCCCUCGUGAGGGAGAGAGGUAUACAUCUAGAGCCUACUUGCCCAACUUGUGGAAUAGACGAUGAGACUCUAAAUCACGCGCUCUUUUUGUGUUCGAGAGCAUCGCAAGGGUAGCAUCUUGCAGGGAUGUAUAGCCUGACCUUCCAAACUAAAGCUCCAAUGUAGGCCUUCUUGGAUUUGUUGAGACGAUAUGCAAGGACUACUGCAUCAUGGAUGGUCAACAUCAGAGUAGCUUACAUGGCCCACCAAAUUUGGCUAGCCAAAAAUAGCCUGAUGUUUGAGGCGAAGACGUGUUCGGCAAGAUUUAUUCUAGAGAGAGUCCUCUCCUUGGUAGUUAAGAUGACUGAUGUGAUUGAAAUCGUCAAAAAUCUGGAACUCCUAUCCUGCUCAUGUAGCGACCCAUCAAGUUUUCAUCACUUGGAAGUCCCCUUGUCUGAUGCAUCCUAAGGUCAAUUUUGACGAAAGAGUCAGGGGCAGAUACGAAGAUGCUGGUUUUGUGAUCCAUAACCCUACAUCCAAACUAGUUGUGUUCGGGGUAGUACUGCUCAUCUCCUUCUUCAGGAUAUUGCAACCUUACUAACCGGCAAUGUGAGCAUCACUACUAAACAUACUUUUCAGAAAGCGAAUCCAGCAGUUGACUGGAUGGCGGCUUUGAUUGCGAAGCACUUCGAUGUGGAUGGAUAUAGAUGAGAGCUUUGGUCCACUCAAGGAUUUUUUGUUUUGACUCUUUUGGAUGUAUUCACAUAAGAACAGUAUGAACGAUUCAUUUUAUCAAAAAAAAAGAGAGCAAAUAUGAUCAUGGUGUGGCAUCAACCCCAUCCAUCUGCUAUCCAAAACAAUUUUAUUGAAUUUACAGGAAAUAUGUCCUUGCCGUAUGAAGAUUAUGAAUAUAGCAAAACAGUCUAAUUAAGAUGGUGGAA